Non-coding RNA from Angiostrongylus costaricensis, 83 nucleotides. The record is from Rfam. NCBI's taxonomy places the organism in Eukaryota, Metazoa, Nematoda, Chromadorea, Rhabditida, Metastrongylidae.
CCGUCGAUAGCUCAGUUGGUAGAGCGGAGGACUGUGGAGUUGCAGCAAUCCUUAUGUUGCUGGUUCGAAUCCUGCUCGACGGA